CCCCACUGCUAUCGGGAUAGGACUAAGACAUGCUAGUCAAGCGCUUUCUAGCUAAUAUGAAAGUGCGGCAUACAGCUCAGUAACGCGUGGCUAACCUGCCCUUGGGACGGAGACACCCCCGGGAAACUGGGGUUAAUUUCCGAUAGGUGAAAAAUUCUGGAAUGAAUUUUCGCUCAAAAGAGGUUUAUGUUAUGCUCAUAUUCUUCGCCCAGGGAUGGGGCCGCGACCGAUCAGGUUGUUGGUGAGGUAAUGGCUCACCAAGCCUUUUACCGGUACGGGCCGUGAGAGCGGGAGCCCGGAGAUGGGCACUGAGACAAGGGCCCAGGCCCUACGGGGCGCAGCAGUCGCGAAAACUUUGCAAUACACGAAAGUGUGACAAGGCUAUCCCGAGUGCCAUCCGCUGAGGAAGGCUUUUACCCAGUCUAGAAAGCUGGGGGAAUAAGGAGAGGGCAAGUCUGGUGUCAGCCGCCGCGGUAAUACCAGCUCUCCGAGUGGUGUGGACGUUUAUUGGGCCUAAAGCAUCCGUAGCUGGCUGAACAAGUCCCCUGUUAAACCCACCGAUUUAAUCGUUGGCUUGCGGGGGAUACUGCUCGGCUAGGGGACGAGAGAGGCAGACGGUAUUCCCGGGGUAGGGGUGAAAUCCUAUAAUCCCGGGAAGACCACCAGUGGCGAAGGCUGUCUGCUAGAACGCGCCCGACGGUGAGGGAUGAAAGCUGGGGGAGCGAACCGGAUUAGAUACCCGGGUAGUCCCAGCUGUAAACGAUGCAGGCUAGGUGUUUGGACGGCCACGUGCCGUUCUAGUGCCGCAGGGAAGCCGUUAAGCCUGCCGCCUGGGGAGUACGGUCGCAAGAUUGAAACUUAAAGGAAUUGGCGGGGGAGCACCACAAGGGGUGAAGCUUGCGGUUU
This 906-nucleotide ribosomal RNA is filed under the name uncultured archaeon. RNAcentral's name for it is "bacterial SSU rRNA". It matches the Rfam family "Archaeal small subunit ribosomal RNA", at positions 21 to 903 of the family's 1478-position model. The record is from RNAcentral.